AGUGAACGCUGGCGGCAGGCCUAACACAUGCAAGUCGAACGAACUCACAGGAGUUAGUGGCGGUUGGGUGAGUAACACGUGGGAACGGGCAUUUUGGUAUGGAAUAACUCUGGGACACUUGUGAUAAUACCGAAUGUGCCCUUCGGGGGAAAGAUUUAUCGCAAUUCUAGAGGCACGCGUUUGAUUAGCUAGUUGGGGAGGUAACGGCUCACCAAGGCGAAGAUCAGUAGCUGGUCUGUGAGGAUGAGCAGCCACGCUUGCACUGAGACGCGGCCGAGACUCCUACGGGAUGGGGCAGUGGGUGAUCUUGCGCAAUGGGCGAAGUGCUGACGGAGCCAUGCCGGGAGAAUGAUGAUGUUCUGAGAGAAGUAAAAUUCUUUCACCGGGGGCGAUAAUGACGGUACCCGGAGAAGAAGCCCCGGCUAACUUCGUG
This 433-nucleotide ribosomal RNA is filed under the name uncultured bacterium. RNAcentral describes it as "partial 16S ribosomal RNA". It matches the Rfam family "Bacterial small subunit ribosomal RNA", at positions 29 to 507 of the family's 1533-position model. The record is from RNAcentral.